UACGGAGGGUGCAAGCGUUAUCCGGAUUUAUUGGGUUUAAAGGGUGCGCAGGCGGGACCUUAAGUCAGUGGUGAAAUCCCUUCGCUUAACGAAGGAACGGCCAUUGAUACUGAGGUUCUUGAAUCUAGUUGACGUUAGUGGAAUGUGUCAUGUAGCGGUGAAAUGCUUAGAUAUGACACAGAACACCGAUCGCGAAGGCAGCUAACGAAGCUAGUAUUGACGCUCAGGCACGACAGCAUGGGGAGCAAACAGG
Molecule: ribosomal RNA, 253 nt
Filed under: uncultured bacterium
Lineage: Bacteria
Description: partial 16S ribosomal RNA
Rfam family: Bacterial small subunit ribosomal RNA
Source: RNAcentral